CUGCGAACAGAAAAUCGCUUUGGAUUAGGAAGUUGGUAGACAAAAGUUCCUAAGCUAAAUCGAUUUUCUGUUGCAA
This is a non-coding RNA of Brugia malayi, 76 nucleotides long. The record is from RefSeq and is a predicted model, not a curated record. Lineage: Eukaryota; Metazoa; Nematoda; Chromadorea; Rhabditida; Onchocercidae.